This is a long non-coding RNA of Myotis daubentonii (Daubenton's bat), 9409 nucleotides long. RefSeq lists it as uncharacterized. NCBI's taxonomy places the organism in Eukaryota, Metazoa, Chordata, Mammalia, Chiroptera, Vespertilionidae. The transcript is spliced from 2 exons. The record is from RefSeq and is a predicted model, not a curated record.
AUGCUCACAAGCACAUGCAUACACACAUAUGCACACAGACAUGCACACGUACACACACACACAAUGCCAAAAGACUCCCCAGGUGCUGUGGGGUGUUUUGUUGCCCUGAUAGGACAUCCCCACCCUUUCCCACCUGAGGAAGCUGCUUCCGGUCCUCCUCCCGCAGAGCCUGUUUCCAUCAGACUGGUUUUUCCAGCUCCACGGCAGCUUUAGGGGCACCUCUUGCUUUAAAACACAGUUGCUUUUAAACAAAUGGUUUAUUUUUCUACCUUCAUCUCAUAGGGGGAAAGUAAACAGAGAUAACAAGAAGAAUCCAAACACCACCAUAAGCAGACCCUGUACACCACCACAUGCGGGCAUCUCCAGGCCUCCUUCCUGUGCACAUGCGCUCUUGUCAAAACCAAAGUCAGGACCACCCCGCUGGCAGUAUUACAACCUUUUUCUCACUUAGCAAAAUAUACCCCAAACAUAUCGGUCAAAUAGAUUUCGAGGCCAUGACUUGAAGCGCCUGCUUAUCAGUUAUGAAUUCAAUUAGCAGUGUUACUGAAGCCCGGCGGCCUUUUCUCUUUGCGAUGUCUCUUCAACACCAGAAACACAACACCGAGGGCGUGAAUCGCGGGCUGUAAGCGUUGAGAAGCGUGUGAGACAGCUGUGCUCUCCCUGCCCGGCCGGAGCCUACCUCGCCCCUCCCUCUGAGCAGGGCAGCUCUUUUUGAAAGAACCCAGCAGAACAGGCCACGAUGCCCAGUGCUCCGCCCGCGGUUGCGCGAAGGUAGCCGUGCUUGGUCUGCGGCUCCCAGUGUCUGCAGCUGCAGGGCAGCAGGAGCGGGACCGGCUGCACUGACACCCUCCUGCGCAGACUGCCUUCGACCCUAAGCCUGCAACAGCCUUCCCUGCCAGUGAAUAGGGUUUCAACCCCUCGUCUCAAAAAGUAUACAAAAUUGAUAGAAUAUUGGUGACUGUUGAAGCUUUGUCGAACUCCUUCCUUAAUUUUGAGCCUGUCUGAAAUUUCCCAGGCAGGUUUUUAAUGGGUUCUAGCUUGCCCUCACAUUCCAGCUGUGCUGUUCCGCGACCACACCCCGGGCUGGGAGGCUAAUGAAUACUAGGCUCAGUGCGAUGAGUAGCCAGCUUGGAGCGAAGACGAAUGAGGACAUGUAGGGCAGGCGGCCCGCGCUUACAAAGCGAUUGUGGGGUGAGGAGGUGGAGGGGGAGGUGGACGGAGCCGGCUGCUCUGCGCAGCCUUCGGGGCCUCUCCUGGGGGAGCCGCCGGUGCUGGCUUGCUCCUGCCUCUGGCUCAGGCGUAGGGUGCCACCGCCUGUCAUUACACCUGGACCCUCUGGGAGGUGCUGCCCGCUGUGCCCACGGGAGGCAGGCCGCGUGUGGGUGGCCGGAGGGUGCACAGUGACGCGGACGGGGUGGAAAGGAUUUCCCCAGGGGGCAUUUUCCACUUGCUCCUGCCUAAGGCACCCUUCGCCCACCCCAAGUGUAUGCUUAAUGCGCCACCUGGUGGCUGUAUUGCAUUGAUGCAGUCUCUCUCACGGGAAAUGACAUAAGGUCACAGAUGUCUGUGAAUUUCUAAAACAUUAGACUCAAGUCCCUGAGAGCGCAUGGUUGCAGAGUAACCCAGAGGUGCAGUGAGGGAAGCUUGCAGAUGAGACCUGGGGCUGAAGGAGGACCUGGCAGUGAGUUAAGCAAACCUGCAACCUGUGCCGGUUGUGACCCACUGAACUGGAGCAGGACAGGCCAGCAAAGGGCAAUUGAUGGGACAAUCAUCGGGCCUCCUGUUCGCACCCACCUGGGCCUGGCACCACCUGCUCACCUGCUCCACCAUCCUGCAGCGGUUCUGCUCUCGUCGCGGCCCAUCAGGGCCAGCAGUGCCUCCACUGUUGCCCGCUGCCAGCGCUGCAUUGCCGACACCUGCUAUGUUCCAAGCCACCCCCUGAUGGUUAGUGCAUGUCCUAGCGAGCGGUCAAACUCCAGCCAAACUUCCGGUAGAACUCCCAAGAGGACAAUUUGCGUAUAAGGCUUUUAUUAUAUAGGGUGACAUUCUGUAAAAUGCAAAACUAUAAAGACAGAAAAAAAACAGUGGUUGUCAGGGGCUGGCUUUGAGGAGGGGUUGGCUACAGGAAUACAAAGGAGUUGGGGGCGGGGGUGGUGAUGAAAUGGUUGGUCAUGGUCUUGCACAGGCUACAUGAUCAACCUACAUGAUUAUAUGUGUCAAAACUAAAAACCUCAAAGGGUGAAUUUUACUAUAUGUAAAUUACAUGUUAAUAAACCUGACCAAACUAGUGAAACAGAUAAACUCUGGUAGGAGUGAUAAAGAAAAAAGAGAAAGUCACACAAGUAAAGAACUUUAAAGCUUGAGAAAUAUAAAAGAAGAUAAGAUUCAAUUUUCAAAAAAUCAAAACAAUAUCUUGAACCACUUUAUACAAAUGAAUUUGAAAAAUAUAUUAAAAUAGAUAACUUAAUAGAAAAAAAUCAUCGAAAUUAUCUCAAUAAAAUGAAAAAAAAUAACUAAAUCAAUAAUCAUUCAGGAAGUUUCACUGGUAAUCAAAAGUCUCUCCCACCAAAAGACACCAGGCACAUAUGGUUUUAUAGGUCAGUUUUAUCCAAAUGUUAAGAAAGUAAUAAAUUUUAUAUCCUACAAACUCUUUUAGACAAUUAAAGAGGGGAGCUACAUGUUUCAUUUUAUGGGGUUCACAUAGCUCUGAUAAGCAAACAAGGACAAGAAAAGAAAAUUAUAGACCAUAUUCACUUAUGAACAUAAGCGCAUACAUUAAAAAUAGCAGUGUAGCCCUAGCCGGUUUGGCAGGGUCCUAGGUUCAAUUCUGGUCAAGGCACAUGCCCGGGUUGCAGGCUUGAUCCCCAGUGCGGGGUGUGCAGGAGGCAGCCAAUCAAUGAUUCUCCCUCAUCAUUGAUGUUUCUACCUCUCUCCCUCUCUCUUCCUCCCUGAAAUCAAUAAAAAUCUUUUUAAAAGAAUAGCAGUAUAUUUUAAAACACACAAGCACACAUGCCCACACGCUCUGAUAACCAGGUAGAGUUUAGCAAGGAUACAAAGAUGGUUUCAUAGCAAUAAAUUCUAUCGAUAUUCAGUAGCAAAAUACACUACAUAGGUGCAGAAAAGCACUUGCUAAAAUCAAACACUGGUUCAUUGUUAACAACAGUCAGCAAACUAGAAAUUAAAAGACAGUUUCUUAACCACACUGAUGCCCACAGUCAAAGACUGUGUGGGACACGGCUAUAGUCACACAGAUCCUGUCCCUGGUACUUGUUGCCACGAUCGAGAUUACACACCUUGGUGAGAAGAUGCGAUCAGGGGCUUGUGUUAAGUAUCUGGGGAAGUCUCAAGGCAGCCUGGUUUUAUUCUAGCUGCUGCCAGAACGUGAGGGAAGUUCUGUGAUUGGAUCUUUUUGUUUUUAUCCAGGAGCCUGCUGGUCUCCCUGGCCCCUGCCUGCUGCACAGCCUGCACCUUUAAAACCUCCCGGGACCAUAGUCAAAGCCAUGGGAAUGGCCCCCAAAGCCACUCAUCAGAGUCAGAGUCUCCAGGGCGUCCCUGGCCCUUGGCAGCACCUCCCCACCCAUAUACCCUUUUGAAACCACACUGAACUCGCCCCAACGUCGAAGCCCCUUUCACAGGCCCAGGCCAACGUUCACACUUUUAGCUCAGCCUGGAAAGCCCUCCCCCUUGCCAUCCCUGUGCUGCCUGGCAAACUCCAGCUGCUACAGACCCGGCUCCAAUGUCACUUGCUCUUGCACAGGCUCCAGCCAACUGCCCUUUCCCUGUGUCAUCUCCCUCCUCGUCAUUCCUGCAGCUUUGUUUCCUCUCCCCUGCCCUUCCUGGGUCCUUCCUCCCUGCUAAAAUGAAAUGCCGAGUCUCUGGGCUGCCUUGCUGGGUGCUGAGGAAUCCAGGGUGAACAGGAGGCCACACAUCAGGGACAGAACUAUUAAGGUGCCGCACGUGAGAACCUCAAGGACAGACCAGUGUCAUGAAUUCAGCCCCGCAGGCCCAGCCCAGCACAGGCCUGGCACUUUGCCGGUGCUCGGGGCACAUCUGUGAGAUGAAAGGAAUCUGUUGUGUGUGUCCCCGACAAGUUGUAACCCCCAGUACCUGUGGGUGUGACCUCAUUUGGAACCAGGUCUUUGCAGAUGUAAUCAAGUUAAGGCGAGGUCGUCCUGGAUUGGACAGAUCUUCACCUGGUGACUGGUGUCCUUGUAAGUGGAGUGAAAUUUGGACACAGACACACAUGGAAGACACCAUGGCAGACGGAGGCAGAGAUUGGACUGAUGCGUAUAAGCCAACAAGCGACUGUGGCCACCAGAGGCGGCCCCCACUGACACCUUAAUUUGGACUUGUAGCCUCCAGAACUGUGAGAGAACGACUUUCUGGGGCUUUGAGCCACCUAGUUAGCGGGCAAUUUGUUACGGCAACCCUAGAAAUGAAUACAGUGUCCAAGGGUCACUGAUUCCUGGGUCACAUUUCUACCAGGCCCCAACCCAGGGGGCGGAAGCUGCCCCAAACUCCACUGCAGGCCGCUCUCAACUUCCUUCCCACCGCCUGGACUGAGCCUCCCCUUCCCUGACCAGCAGGGGACCACGCCUCCUCCGACACUAGGCGGCGCCAGCAGGCCGCGCCAUCCUGCUCCGGCUCCAGCGUUGGCAAAAGGGACUGAGCAUGGAGAGUCACCCAUAGGCGGAGCUCCCAAAUCCAGGAACUGCUUUAAGAUCUCAGUGAAGUGGUUCUGUCUGUCUGAGAGAGGAAAUCGGAUUCUCUCCCCUGCAGACUGUCCUGCCUCCAAUCCCUGUUCACCCUUGGCAGCCUCAGAGCUUGAGCUGCUGGGGGAGAAGUCAGAGGCCCAUGACGGCCUCCCAGGUGCAGCCCGCACAGGCUGGCUGUGCUUUGGGCCGUCCCGUUCCCCUUCGGAGCGCUCUGCCCUGGAAGUCCAGCCAUUCUACUUUCACCCCAGAUGCGAUUCCCAGAAACAGGCUUUGGUGCUCCCAUUGGUUGGGUGUGCCGGGCCCUCAGUCCCACACUCCUCCCUGAUUCUUUAGCUUCUUUUCAAAUUGCGAUGAAUAACUGGUACACAUAGGACAUUUCACACAUAAGCAAGGACAUCUGUAAGAAAGGCAUUUCUAAUUUUGGCAGGUCUUAAUACAAUUAUAUAUUAGGCUGAAAUUGCCUAUAUGUGACCUUUUUUAUUAACCUGCACAAAAUGGCCAUUUCAUGUGAUUCAUGGUUUUGUGUGUUGGUACUUUUGUUCCUAUAGGUCUCUAGCCUAAAAUGCCCUCCGGUUCCCACUUCUCACCCCACAGAUCCUUCUUCACUCACUUCCCAAGUCAUGCUGGCACUCACUGGAGCUUUUCUUUUUGUAAAAUUCUGCCUUAAGUUUUAGGCAGAGGUUUAAUCUCCUGCAUACUCACUGAGGGCAAAGGCUGAGUCUUAUCUGUGGCUGUGCCCUGGACCUAGUACACGGCUUUGUAUAAAUCCUAAAAAGAAAAACUGUGGUCUUGUUGAAUGAAUUUGCAAAUGAAUGAGUGAAGAAGCAAUUGCAGUGCGAGAGGGAGUGGUCAUCCCACAGAGAGGCUAUGGCACCAAAAGUUUCUACAUUUCCUUGGAGCACAGAGGCUUAAGGGUCUCACGAGACCACCCAGAAGCCACAGCAGCCCCUGUGCUUAGUGUGUUUGGGUUGUGCCUACACACACACACACACACACACACACACACACAUGUUCAGCCCCAGCCAGCAGGCUCCACCUCCAAACAGGCCGCCUCUGCUGGGGAAGCCCACACUUGCUAAACCCUCUGUGCUGCCUGCCAAGUUGAGAAUCAUUUCCUGCCCGGGUCUCAGACAGUUCACGCUGCCCCAGAUGGUCUGCUCAGGAAAAUUCCCAUGUUGUGAAAUUUCCUUCUCUGGGGACCCUGGGUGUCAUGGGAAAUAGGAAAUGCUGGACAGCUAUUCACCUCUCGGUGUGGGAUGGGACCGUCCCCAAGCCCUGCAAAGCCUGCAAUGCUCCUCCACCAGGGAGCUUGGAGGAGGGACCAGGGCUGCCCUGGGAAUGUGCCACUUCUUGCCCCAGGUUCAGAUUAAUUCCUUGCCUCAGGAACUUAAAAUGAAAUUAUAUUAUAUGUCAAAACUGUGAUGCCCCCUCUAAAUUAAAUAAGCCAUGUGUUUUAUAUAUUCCAUAUUCCAAUAGCCCAUAAGUAAUUCAGAGAGGAAAUCACAGUUCGGACUUUUCCUCUCAAACAUGGAUAUCUUGGCCUUCAAACUUGGACAGUUUCCAAUGCAUUUUUGUUAUAAAGAGUUAAGCAAACAUAUAUUUUAAAAAUUAAUAAAACAAAUGUGAAUCAAAACAAUAUCAUUUUCUUUUGACUGGUAUAUUUUUUAAAUUGAUAAUUGCCAAUGCUGGUGAGGUUGUGGGAAAAUGAACACUGCCAAUGAAAAUAUAAUUUGGGAUAACUUUCAUUGUGGGCAAUUUGAGGUAUAUCAAAAGCCCCUAAAAUGUGCAUUUCUCUUGAUCCAGCAAUUUUCUUUCCAGCAAUUUAUCCUAAGAAAAUAAUCUAAAGUGCUAUCAAACCAUUGGUCAUAAGAGUUAAAAAAAAAAAUGGCAACCUGAAAGUCCAAAUUUCCAAUAUGAUAGAAAAUUUUGCAGCCUUUAAAGUGAUGUAGAUGAAUGUUUUAUGGGCUAAUAGACUGUAUAUUUAAAAAAAAAUACUAUUAAAAAGGGAUCCAUUCAAAGAGGAAAAUACAGGCAUAGAAAAAAGAACAACAUUGCCAGUAGGAGGUGGUGUUAUGGAUAAUUUUAAUUUUCUUUCUACUGAGAUAAAAAAGAAAGUAUUACUUUGGCAUAUUUAAACAUUUUUUAAAAAUAAUUUUUAUUAAUUGCAGAUAAGGGAGAGGGAAAGAAAAAUAGAAACAUUAAUGAUGAGAAUCAUCGAUCGGCUGCCUCCUGCACACUGGGGAUCAAGCCCACAACCCAGGCAUGUGCCCUGACCAGGAAUUGAACCAUGACCUCCUGGUUCAUAGGUCAAUGCUCAACCACUGAGCACUGGCCGGGCUAAAGGUAUUUUUAAAUAUUCUGAGAAAGACGCUGAGAGCUUGUUACUACUUUUGUUGCUGUCUAGGGGUUUCAACUUUCCAAACUGUGAGAUGGGAUUCCGCAGCAGGGCAGGAAUUCCUUCUCUCUCCUCCCAUCCACUUUUCUCAACGUGAGGCAACCACUUAGCAGACAGCCCUUCCCCAGCAGCCCUGCAGGUUCUGUGGGCUUUGUUAUCGUUGUCCCCACCCACCACCUGCCAUCAAAAGACAACAAUCCCAGCGUUGACCCCAUGUUGACAGGUCUCCCUUCCACAGCAUUCCUUACCUGAUGGGACCUGUUUCUGCCCAUUUUCUACCUGAAGCUCGUUGGUUAGAACAGUCUGUAAAGGCAGAAAGGAGGCGGUGAGGCCUUUGAGAGGCAGGCAGCGUCUGAUGGGGUAGGGGUGGGAGUCAUUUUAGAACUACCUGGGUUUGAAUUAAAUCCUGGCUCCACCUUGGGCAAGUUAAUGCAGGUCUUCAUGCCUCGGCUUUUAUGUGGCCUGGGGCAGGUGAUAAUGGCGCCUGCGUUGUUAGUUGCUGUGUGGAUUCCACACUAUAGGCUUCCAACUGUGCCUGGCACAUGUAAGUGGUUUUUAAGUACCAGCUAUUAUCACCGUUUUAAGAGUUGGUAAACUGCUCUUCCCUUCACCUUCCUUGCAACGGCAAUUAUGUUGGCGUGGAGCCUCCUGAGGACUGGUGCCACUGAGAUUAAGGCUAAACUGUUUUCCCACCCAACACUGCGAGGUAGGAAAACCAGUCACCCUGACCGUUACACCCAGAGCACGUGUCAGCACAGCCGAAGUGCCCAGUGCCUCCCUCCACUCACACCCUUACCACCUGCCGUGAGGGCUCCUUGCUGUCAGCCUGCCUCCCUGGCAAUGACCUCUUCACCUCUGCGUGCUCCGCCUCUUCACUUCUUAGAUCUCCAACAUUCCCUCUCCCACCCGGGUCUUCCAUCUCUCCAUCUCAGAGGAUUGCUUCUUCCCCCACAGACCUACAAUUCUUCCAUGGUCUCCAGGUACGGUUUGCUGCAUCCCCCUGAAGGCUCUCUUCCUAAGACCUGGAGAGAGCUUCCCCACUUCCCCCAAACGCUGAGUUUAGUGAGUCAAUCCGCUCCUUACACCUGUCAGCACUGCCCCUUGCCCUUAGGAUAAAGGGAAGCUUCCCAGGUGGCUGGAGAGGCCCUGCCUCCACCACCUAGCCUCUGCCCUCUCCCUCAGCCCUGCCGUGCAGCAGCACUAGAGUCCUUUUAGUUUCUCAAACUGGCUGUGCUUUCUGCUGCCUUUGCACCCACACACGUAGUGUUUUGCCCCUUAGCCUCGCUGUACUGGCCCUCACAUCUCAGCUUAAAUGCCAGUUUGUCCAAAAAGAGCUUUGCCUACGCUCCCUUACACUUCCCCGAUCACACUGUCGUCAGGCACCGUUGUAACUGCCUGCCUUCCCAGCACAUUAGAAAUCCAUGCAGGUCUUGCUCACUGCCCAAUCCCAGCAUGAAAACGGUAGCUGGCACACUGAGAGCGUUUUUAAAGAGAAAAAUGUAUCCCACUUAUUUUUGUGGUCUCUCUUCCUUGUGGCAUGGACCACCUCCCUGUCCUAUCUCCAUCUCCUGCAAGGCACCUCUCCCCAGACCUGGUCCUUCAUCCCUUCACGAGCUCCUACCCACACACAAUCUUUUCAACCUAGGGUUUCUAUAAAAACUUUACGGAAGGAUCACAUCUCUCACAACUGCCUCAUAAGAACUUUUUUUAUUAUUUAGAAAUGCAGUUAUAUACAUAGAAUUAAAAUUAAAUUAAACUUUGUACAAAUAUUAAAAUACUAUCUUCACACCCACUGCAAUGUACAGGAUACCAAAAAAUAUAUAUAAAAUAAAGCAAACCCAAACUGACUGACAUCCUGCACAUAGUCAAUGAUGCAAGUGUUGUUUUAAACCAUUAUGUGAGUACCAUUCUGCAAGUUUCCAUAGUGGUGUGAUAAGCCAGGGCAGGGUGUGGUAGGCGGCCACACAAUCCUCGUCCAUCUCUCCUCCCUGCUUGGCAAUCCAAGUGCUCUGCCCCUGCACCCUCUCCAGAGAGCUCUGCUGCCUGGCGCAGGGUUUAACUUUGAGGUUUCAUUCAAAAUUCUACUAGGUUUUCAACUGGAGAUUACGAGUUUUCCAGCAAAGCUGAGCCUGCCAAGCAAAGUCCCUCUGAGCUCUUCACUGAUCAUCGGUAAUGUCUGUCCCUAUGCUGAGCCCCAGGAGGCCCCAAGAGAAGCUCCCAGCCAGCACAUCUGGGGUUCAGCUGGAAAGCCUGCAUACCACUUCCCUUCUGGUCCUUUAUUCUCUUUUGGCGGGGGUGG